Ovis aries (sheep) is the source of this 72-nucleotide transfer RNA. It matches the Rfam family "tRNA". Rfam says of the family: Transfer RNA (tRNA) molecules are approximately 80 nucleotides in length. The record is from Rfam. Lineage: Eukaryota; Metazoa; Chordata; Mammalia; Artiodactyla; Bovidae.
UCCCUGGUAGCUCAGAGGUUAAAGCGUCGGCCUGCAACGCGGGAGACCUGGGUUCGAUUCCUGGGUUGGGAA